GAUUGGAAGUGCAAGUUGUGCUCUGUAUCCUUGGACACACGUGCAAAGUUAUUUAGGCAUUAUCAAUUGCACCAUAACCACUUCUCAAGAGUCAGCCCUCUACCAUGUUUGUACAGUGACUGCAUUUGUGCUUUCCAGUCAUUUAAUGCAGUUAAAGCUCAUUUGUCACGGUGUCAUAGUGAUACAGGCAGAAUAAAUGUGACUGAUGGUUCACAGUCAGGAAGUGCAUUUUUUACAUGUCCCUUGUGUGGCACCAAACAGACAUUUUCUGAGGCAUCACUAUUUUCUCAUUUAAGGAGUCAUUUAAGAAAUCAUGAGGUGGUAGUAUGCCCAUACAGUAACUGCAGUUACAGUACAAAUGCGUACUCGUCCUUCAAUGCACACAAAAGCCGAAACCAUGCAGGCAGUUCAGACUUUGAUACGAACAUUGUAUGUUCAGAAAAGAAUGGUACACCAGACACACCUGCUGGUGAAAAUGUUGAGGAGGGACCUGCUCAGUGUGAGAGCACAGACACCUUUGACCCUGUUGAGGUAGAGAGUCAGUGCGACACAGACACUUUAAGAGCGCAGCUGCACCAAAGUUUAGCAUCGCUAUUCUUAAAGAUGAAAACAAUUCUUCAUGUGUCUGACCUGGCGACUCAGGACAUAGUGGAGCAUCUGACACAAAUAUUUUCCCUGUCCCAGCCUCUAGUCAAACAAUCUCUUAGAGAAGUCUUAGAACAUCAUGACAUCUCUGUCAGUGAAAAUACUCUAGAUGACAUAGUUACUGCCGUUCUGGAAAGCAACAUUCUUGUAAAUGCCACAGCUAAAGGUAGAGAGUUAUCUUCAACUAAAAGAAGGAAAACAUUUGUUGAGAAAAACUACCCUGUGGUGAAGCCUGUAGAGUAUGUGCUGGAGCCAGGACACACAGCAGUCUAUGUUCCUAUUCUUGACAUGAUUCAGAAAAUGUUCAAACAUACAGACAUUCUGGACAAAAUUCUAGAAACAAAGAUGUCACAGGAAGGUCAUUUCAUGAGCCACCAAGAUGGCUCAUACUAUAAGGAGAAUGAAUUAUUCUCUUCCUCAGAUGAUCUUAAGCUACCACUCAUUUUGUACAUUGAUGAUCUUGAAAUAGCAAACCCACUUGGAACAUCACGGAAGAUCCAUAAACUAUGUUCAGUCUACUGGGUAUUUGCUGAUCUGCCUAGUAAAUAUAGAUCAUCAUUGCAUGUGCUUCAGUUAGCAGCAUUAUGUAAGGUGUCUGACGUUCAGCGGGUUGGAUAUGAAAGAUUGUUUGGUCCUCUGUUACGAGACAUCCAAACUCUUGAGCAAGAUGGUGUUUUUAUUGAGUCCGUUGGUAAAGCCGUAAAGGGAACAGUCUUGUGUGUCGUGGCUGAUAAUCUUGCAGCUCAUGCAUUAGCAGGAUUUACAAAGUGUUUCAGAGCUCAGUAUAUGUGUAGAUUCUGCACAGCUACCAAAGACCAAAUUCAGGCUCAUGAUGUUGGGAGUGGAGAAUUCAGUGUGCGGACAAAAGCCAGUCAUGAUGUUGAUGUUGAUGCUGCACUGCAUGGGGUUAGUCAGAGUGGUGUUCAGGGAGUCUGUGUUCUGAGGCAGGGUCUACAGUAUUUUCAUACAGUCACAGGCUUCCCACCAGAUAUCCUGCACGAUCUUCUUGAGGGCAUUGUGCCCAUAGAGCUGGCCCUUUGUAUUGGGAAAAUGAUCAAUCAUAAAUACUUCACCCUGGAGUAUUUAAACAGAAAAAUUGUCUCAUUCCCAUACAAGCACACAGACAAGGUUGACAGACCUCAGCCUAUCCCAAAGACCUUCACUGUGAAGAAAACGAUUGGUGGCAAUGGCCAUGAAAAUGCUACUUUGCUCAGACUACUUCCAUUGAUCAUUGGUAGUAAAGUUCCAGAAGAGGAUGGAGCAUGGAGUGUACUCAUGGAUUUGAAAGAGAUAGUAGAGCUGAUGAUUUGCCCAGUGUUUACAGAUGAAUCCAUCCAGUAUUUGCAAAUGAAGAUACAGGAUCAUAGACACAUGCUGCAGGAAGUUUUUCCUGAUUUCACGCUCAGACCAAAGCAUCACUACACUGAACAUUACGCUGACCUCAUACGUUGUUUUGGACCUCUUGUCCAUUUGUGGACGAUGAGAUUUGAGGGAAAACACCGCUUUUUCAAGCGUGUAGUACAUGACACACAAAACUUCAAGAAUGUUUUAAAAACACUAGCAAACAGACACCAACACAUGAUGGCAUACUCUCUCAGUGCCCCAUCCUUCUUCAAACCUCACCAGCAGACAUCAAGCGUCUCGUCUGUGAUGGUAUCAGGGCUUCCUGAUGUUGCAAAGGCAUAUGUCGAACACAUGACAGACAGCAGCAUGAUUUACAGCACAUCAGUUGUCAAUGUUGAUGGAACUGAUUAUGGCGUGGAGAUGUUUGUGUCUGUGGGACAGGAGGGAGGAUUGCCUCAGUUCAGCAAAAUUGAACAGAUUCUCCUUGUCGAUAACCAGAUUGUCUUUCUUUGCAAGAUACACACAUCAUGUUACAUUGAGCAUCUGAGAUCUUAUGAACUUUCACCAGGGAACUUGACUGUCCACCUUUUAAAAGAGCUCAAUGACACAUUGCCUCUCUCUGCAUACAGAACAGAUGGAAGACUGCUCUUAACACCAAAACGGUUCAUAUUACUACACUGAAAUUUCAGCUCAUUUAAGUACACAUCAAGAUAUGGUUACUCCGCAGAAAUUUGUGCUCCGUGUAUGUGUUGCAACAGAUCUUGCCAUGAAGCUCAUUCUAACCGAGCGACCACAGUCAGUAGAAGAGCUCAAGAAUAUAAUGCAAGAGAAGUUUAAGCCAAGGCUGGACUGUGACUUUACCCUUCAAUAUGAAGAUCCUGACUUCGAUGGACAGCUCAGUGUUCUUAUGGAUAUUCAGGAGCUCCCUGAAAAAGGAACACUGAAAGUGGUGAGAUCUGAAAGUGAUGCAUCCUCCACUGGAAGCUCCGACACAGACAUACUUCCACAUGUACCUUUAAGACAGCGUCAGAAAAAUUGGCCAGAUUGUUUCCCUGUGCCAACUUUUUCUUAUGAAGUUGAGCAUGUAUGUGCACAGGGAAAUCCUGCCUUUGAAAGUUCUGGGAAGACACUGAAAUUAACAAGAGCCCAAAAACACAAUAUCCUGGAAAACAUGGCUGAAACAAUGUACAAUUUCAAGCCAUAUCCGCAUGACAAGGAAGUUGGUAUGGCUGCUGAAGCUCUAAUAGCAGCUCAUCCAUGCCUUAGAGAACAUGGGAGUAAGAAUGGAUGGUAUGGAUGGAAGGUGGCCUUGAAGUUCAAGAUGGGGAAUUUUCGCACUAAGUUGGCCAGAUCUGGUUGUGCAGAGGUCUCCAUCAAUGCAGGCAAGAGGAGCCGAACCAACCCUGAAAAUGAUCAUCCUCAUUCGAACAUCAAAAGAGCCAGAAGAGCUGAGGUGAAUUUCCUGCCCAACUUUCCCAGGGGAGAGAAUGAGGCAACCUUGGAGGAAAUGAGAGUACAAAUCAUACAAGAGACUGAAAAGACUGAGAGAGACCAGAUACUGAUAGAAAAGCUCAUGCACACAACCUUUGCCCUUCGCCGCCAACACAUUGUUCAAGGAAGUCCACAGGUGCGGGAAUUCCUGGAGAACUGGCCGGCCUUGCGAAUGCAGUCACAGGUGUUUGCAGAGUUUCAUCGCAUUACAAACCUGAAUCUACGCAACCAGUUUUACUGUGAACUUGACCGAUACACACCAAAACUAGUUGCACUGUAUCGACAGAAGUCUUCAAGGACUGGAAAGGGAGCAGAGGCACUGCGAGAGAUGCUGAGAAUUUAUGACUUGGAGGAAGAACAUGAUAUCAACAUGCGACGCACUCUGGCUCUUCGUGCACUUCCAGUGUAUCUCCGGGAGGAUGACACUGAAUUCUACAAAACCUGUAAUGGUGAAGAUGAGAUGGAGACCACUGACACACCGCUAGCGAUCCUCUCUGUGGUCCCUGACUCCACUGGUUCCAUUAGCUUCAGCCCUGAGAACAUAUCCAUUGUGAUAGAGGAUGAAGUUGUUAUGAGCGAGCUUCCCAGGUUGGCUGAUGCAUUUGUGGUGCUGCUUGGUUUAAUCUAUGCAUUACACUUAGAUUAUCCAAAGAAGCUCACUCACACAUUCACAUUCAUCCAGAAAGUGCUGAUGUGUCUGGAUGAUAACAAACCACUGAAACCAUGCCUACUCUCCCUGAAAAAUGAUUUGUUAAAGGAAUAAACAAGCUGAGAAAUGCAUGCCUGCACUCAGCAGGCCAACAUUAUUACA
Molecule: RNA transcript, 4291 nt
Organism: Seriola aureovittata
Lineage: Eukaryota; Metazoa; Chordata; Actinopteri; Carangiformes; Carangidae
Exons: 5
Source: RefSeq, a predicted model, not a curated record